UCCUACGGGAGGCAGCAGUGGGGAAUAUUGGACAAUGGGCGAAAGCCUGAUCCAGCAAUGCCGCGUGUGUGCAUGCUUUUCUUCUCUACUGAAAGUGCUUUACAACCCGCAGGCCUUCUUCACACACGCGGCAUUGCUGGAUCAGGCUUUCGCCCAUUGUCCAAUAUUCCCCACUGCUGCCUCCCGUAGGA
This 191-nucleotide ribosomal RNA is filed under the name uncultured Thioalkalivibrio sp. RNAcentral describes it as "partial 16S ribosomal RNA". The stretch from base 1 to 64 matches the Rfam family "Bacterial small subunit ribosomal RNA", at positions 337 to 400 of the family's 1533-position model. Lineage: Bacteria; Pseudomonadati; Pseudomonadota; Gammaproteobacteria; Chromatiales; Ectothiorhodospiraceae. The record is from RNAcentral.